AUUGAACGCUGGCGGCAUGCUUUACACAUGCAAGUCGAACGGCAGCGGGGAGGAGCUUGCUUCUCUGCCGGCGAGUGGCGGACGGGUGAGUAAUACAUCGGAACGUGUCGAGAAGAGGGGGAUAACAACCCGAAAGGGUGGCGAAUACCGCAUAAAUUCUGAGGAAGAAAGCUGGUGACCUAGGAAUAGGCAUAGCGCUGUUUGAGCGGCCGAUGUCGGCUUAGCUAGUUGGUGAGGUAAAGGCGCACCAAGGCGAAGAUCUGUAGCGGGUCUGAGAGGAGGAUCCGCCACACUAGGACUGAGACGAGGCCGAGACUCCUACGGGAGGCAGCAGUGGGGAAUUUUAGACAAUGGGGGCAACCCUGAUCCAGCCAUGCCGCGUGUAUGAAGAAGGCCUUAGUGUUGUAAAGUACUUUUGUUAGGGAAGAAAAGUCAGCUGUGAAUAAUGGCUGAUACUGACGGUACCUAAAGAAUAAGCACCGGCUAACUACGUG
This 494-nucleotide ribosomal RNA is filed under the name uncultured bacterium. RNAcentral describes it as "partial 16S ribosomal RNA". It matches the Rfam family "Bacterial small subunit ribosomal RNA", at positions 30 to 507 of the family's 1533-position model. The record is from RNAcentral.